Molecule: ribosomal RNA, 549 nt
Filed under: Salmonella enterica
Lineage: Bacteria; Pseudomonadati; Pseudomonadota; Gammaproteobacteria; Enterobacterales; Enterobacteriaceae
Also listed under: 1 other name
Description: partial 23S ribosomal RNA
Rfam family: Bacterial large subunit ribosomal RNA
Source: RNAcentral
CAGGUGCGAAAGCAGGUCAUAGUGAUCCGGUGGUUCUGAAUGGAAGGGCCAUCGCUCAACGGAUAAAAGGUACUCCGGGGAUAACAGGCUGAUACCGCCCAAGAGUUCAUAUCGACGGCGGUGUUUGGCACCUCGAUGUCGGCUCAUCACAUCCUGGGGCUGAAGUAGGUCCCAAGGGUAUGGCUGUUCGCCAUUUAAAGUGGUACGCGAGCUGGGUUUAGAACGUCGUGAGACAGUUCGGUCCCUAUCUGCCGUGGGCGCUGGAGAACUGAGGGGGGCUGCUCCUAGUACGAGAGGACCGGAGUGGACGCAUCACUGGUGUUCGGGUUGUCAUGCCAAUGGCACUGCCCGGUAGCUAAAUGCGGAAGAGAUAAGUGCUGAAAGCAUCUAAGCACGAAACUUGCCCCGAGAUGAGUUCUCCCUGAGACUUUAGGUCUCCUGAAGGAACGUUGAAGACGACGACGUUGAUAGGCCGGGUGUGUAAGCGCAGCGAUGCGUUGAGCUAACCGGUACUAAUGAACCGUGAGGCUUAACCUUACAACGCCGAAG